Long non-coding RNA from Mandrillus leucophaeus (drill), 826 nucleotides. RefSeq lists it as uncharacterized. NCBI's taxonomy places the organism in Eukaryota, Metazoa, Chordata, Mammalia, Primates, Cercopithecidae. The record is from RefSeq and is a predicted model, not a curated record. The transcript is spliced from 8 exons.
AAAGCAUGGCAAAAUGAGGAAACCACUGACAGGUGAAGAAUCUGCACAACGGAAAACCACCUUGACCAUCUCAUGACUUUAUACAAGAAUCGGAGACAUCCAAGGCCAUUCCAUUUCUAGAUCACACUUAUCCCUCAAUCAAGUCAGUGACUGGAUCAUCUCCUAAGGUUUCACCUGCUUUGCAUCAGUGAGUUGGAGUAUGGAUCAGGUACUGUGCUUAGCAUUGGAAAAUGGGAUGACAAUGAACAGAGUAACACGAGUAGAUUUCUGAAAAAGGAUGAACUUACUGGAAACAGAUAUUGUGUGCCUGAAAUAGACCCAAAAGGAUAUAAAUGUCUGAACUUAGUCUGGGCUGGUGAUAUAGAUUUGGAAUGCAUCAACAUGCAGAUGGUAAUCCUGGCAUGCGAGUAGAUGAGAUCAUCCAGGGAGAUGGCCUAUAAUGAGAGCCUAUAACAUGUCAGGACUCAAACACCUCUUACUGCCUCCUCACUUUGAAACUAAAUGCCAUACUGUGUGCACUGCUCCCCACUGCCUUCCCUCCUGCCUCACCAGUUGAUCCCUAUACCUCCUUCACAGUGAGCUCCAGGAGGCCUCUAACUUACACUGACAGGAUCACAGAAUGUGAAUUUUGAACAGAUCUGAAAAAUUACUAAGUUCAACUCCACAGAGGUUCCUAGGAGAAUGUUAACAGUCCAGACCUUUUUUACUACAUCUCAGAAACAUCAAUAUGGAUGACUGGCAUAUAAAAUCCUACUUAACCUUUACAUAACUGCAAUACCAGGAAACAAAUAUGUCAAUAAAAGGAAACAUCAUCCAAUUUUUCUGA